UACAGCAGUUAACUCAUAUAAGUUCAUUCUUCCCCUAUAGUAAAAACUAUUAUUAAUCUAAAUUCUAAAAAAUAUUCAAUAGAAGUGACCCUAAUAUUAAUAACAACUUUUCUCCAUUACACACAAACUCUUUGAAACAACUCUAAUAAUAAUAACAUCAUUCUCCCCUCAUAUACAAACUCUUUGCCAAGAAAUACUCUUCUGCAUAACUCCUUACUCUCAACAGUUCAGCUUAACUGUUUGAAAAUCCGUAGUAAGAUAACAAAAUUAUAGUUAUACACAAACACUUUGCCAACAAAAAACAUAAUAAAAAAAUAAAAUCCUUCUAUAUACAUAAAAGUUUAUAAUUUAAUAAAAUUAUACUCCAACAAAACUCUAUAUAAAAUACUAAAUUACGAUAACAUGCAUUAAAUAUUUCGAAAUUGUAUAUUUUAAAUUUCUGGAACAUAAAUUUCCCGCGGCGAAGCGCGGGC
RNAcentral lists this long non-coding RNA (473 nucleotides) under Ananas comosus (pineapple). RNAcentral describes it as "long non-coding RNA (ACOM_LNC039843)". Lineage: Eukaryota; Viridiplantae; Streptophyta; Magnoliopsida; Poales; Bromeliaceae. The record is from RNAcentral.